Molecule: unclassified non-coding RNA, 393 nt
Filed under: uncultured fungus
Lineage: Eukaryota; Fungi
Description: partial contains small subunit ribosomal RNA, internal transcribed spacer 1, and 5.8S ribosomal RNA
Rfam family: Eukaryotic small subunit ribosomal RNA (bases 1-73)
Source: RNAcentral
GCAAACUUGGUCAUUUAGAGGAAGUAAAAGUCGUAACAAGGUUUCCGUAGGUGAACCUGCGGAAGGAUCAUUAUCGAAUUUGUUCAAACUUGGUUGUCGCUGGCUCUCUCUCUGAGACUGCAUGUGCACGCCAAGUUCAAACUUUUCAUUCUAACCUCCUGUGCACUUUUGUGGAUCGUGGACAGAUAAACUUUGUCAAAGUAACUUUUGGUUUUGGAGAUUGCACUCUUUGCUUUCCCCUACCAUUUGUUCACGGUUCAUGUCUUUUUACUACAAACCAUUCAAUCUAAACUCAGAAUGCUUCACAAGUUGGGACAUUUGGUAUCCCUUCUUAAAUCUUAUACAACUUUCAACAACGGAUCUCUUGGCUCUCGCAUCGAUGAAGAACGCAGC